This 428-nucleotide ribosomal RNA is filed under the name uncultured bacterium. Its description in RNAcentral is "bacterial SSU rRNA". It matches the Rfam family "Bacterial small subunit ribosomal RNA", at positions 355 to 775 of the family's 1533-position model. The record is from RNAcentral.
CGGGGAAUAUUCCGCAAUGGACGAAAGUCUGACGGAGCAACGCCGCGUGAGUGAUGAAGGUUUUCGGACUGUAAAGCUCUGUUGUUUAGGACGAAAGUGCCUGUUGCGAACAGUUACAGGUAUUGACGGUACUAAACGAGGAAGCCACGGCUAACUACGUGCCAGCAGCCGCGGUAACACGUAGGUGGCAAGCGUUGUCCGGAAUUAUUGGGCGUAAAGAGCACGUAGGCGGAGAUUUAAGUCUGUUGUGAAAAUGCGGGGCUCAACCCCGUAUUGCGAUGGAAACUGAAUUUCUUGAGUGCAGGAGAGGAAAGGGGAAUUCCCAGUGUAGCGGUGAAAUGCGUAGAUAUUGGGAGGAACACCAGUGGCGAAGGCGCCUUUCUGGACUGUGUCUGACGCUGAGAUGCGAAAGCCAGGGUAGCGAACGG